This 368-nucleotide ribosomal RNA is filed under the name uncultured bacterium. RNAcentral describes it as "bacterial SSU rRNA". It matches the Rfam family "Bacterial small subunit ribosomal RNA", at positions 527 to 896 of the family's 1533-position model. The record is from RNAcentral.
GAAGGGUGCUAGCGUUGUUCGGAAUCACUGGGCGUAAAGCGCGCGUAGGCGGCCAUUCAAGUCAGGGGUGAAAUCCUUGGGCUCAACCCAAGAAUUGCCUUUGAAACUGUAUGGCUGGAGUACUGGAGGGGAUAGCGGAAUUCCUAAUGUAGAGGUGAAAUUCGUAGAUAUUAGGAGGAACACCGGUGGCGAAGGCGGCUAUCUGGACAGUAACUGACGCUGAGGCGCGAAAGUGCGGGGAUCAAACAGGAUUAGAUACCCUGGUAGUCCGCACUGUAAACGAUGGAUGUUAGCCGUUGGGGGGUUCCCCCUCAGUGGCGUAGCUAACGCGUUAAACAUCCCGCCUGGGGAGUACGGUCGCAAGAUUA